CAGUCGCCGCGGUAAUACGGAGGGUGCAAGCGUUGUCCAGAUUUAUUGGGUUUAAAGGGUGCGUAGGCGGCCUAAUAAGUCAGUGGUGAAAGCCUCCAGCUUAACUGGAGAACUGCCAUUGAUACUGUUAGGCUUGAGUAUACUUGAGGUAGGCGGAAUUGACAGUGUAGCGGUGAAAUGCAUAGAUAUUGUCAAGAACACCAAUUGCGAAGGCAGCUUACUAAAUUAUAACUGACGCUGAGGCACGAAAGUGUGGGUAUCAAACAGGAUUAGAUACCCCAGUAGUCCCUGUCUCUUAUAC
This 301-nucleotide ribosomal RNA is filed under the name uncultured bacterium. Its description in RNAcentral is "partial 16S ribosomal RNA". It matches the Rfam family "Bacterial small subunit ribosomal RNA", at positions 509 to 807 of the family's 1533-position model. The record is from RNAcentral.